This 464-nucleotide ribosomal RNA is filed under the name uncultured bacterium. Its description in RNAcentral is "bacterial SSU rRNA". It matches the Rfam family "Bacterial small subunit ribosomal RNA", at positions 338 to 795 of the family's 1533-position model. The record is from RNAcentral.
CCUACGGGGCGCACCAGUGGGGAAUAUUGCACAAUGGGCGCAAGCCUGAUGCAGCCACGCCGCGUGUGUGAAGAAGGCCUUCGGGUUGUAAAGCACUUUCAGCGGGGAGGAAGGCGUUAAGGUUAAUAACCUCAUCGAUUGACGUUACCCGCAGAAGAAGCACCGGCUAACUCCGUGCCAGCAGCCGCGGUAAUACGGAGGGUGCAAGCGCUAAUCGGAAUUACUGGGCGUAAAGCGCACGCAGGCGGUCUGUCAAGUCGGAUGUGAAAUCCCCGGGCUCAACCUGGGAACUGCAUUCGAAACUGGCAGGCUAGAGUCUUGUAGAGGGGGGUAGAAUUCCAGGUGUAGCGGUGAAAUGCGUAGAGAUCUGGAGGAAUACCGGUGGCGAAGGCGGCCCCCUGGACAGAGACUGACGCUCAGGUGCGAAAGCGGGGGAGCAAACAGGAUUAGAUACCCUCGUAGUC